UGUUUAGCCAACCAGAGGCCGCGCACAGCAUGGAGGUGACAAGCAUGGUGCUGGUAACAAGGGAUCUGGGCAACGACAAAAUUAUAUGCGUCUUGGCUAUGAAACUGGAAAUAACCCAUUUUACUUGCGUUUCACAUACGAGCCAUAUUACAAGGGGCAUCACUUACGACGGGAAUACCCACCCCUCUCUUUACUACAGCUUCAGAAAAUGAUUGAUACAGAUCGUCUGGAUAUCUCACAACCUCUAGAUUUGUCAGUCAUUUGCAACACUGGAUUAUA
This is a non-coding RNA of Zootermopsis nevadensis, 279 nucleotides long. The record is from RefSeq and is a predicted model, not a curated record. NCBI's taxonomy places the organism in Eukaryota, Metazoa, Arthropoda, Insecta, Blattodea, Termopsidae.